This 560-nucleotide ribosomal RNA is filed under the name uncultured bacterium. RNAcentral's name for it is "bacterial SSU rRNA". It matches the Rfam family "Bacterial small subunit ribosomal RNA", at positions 118 to 692 of the family's 1533-position model. The record is from RNAcentral.
UAAGGAACUUGCCUCUUGGACUGGGACAACUGUUGGAAACGACAGCUAAUACCGGAUAUUAUGAGAUUCUCGCAUGAGAAACUUAUGAAAGCUAUAUGCGCCAAGAGAGAGCCUUGCGUUCCAUUAGCUAGUUGGUGGGGUAAUGGCCCACCAAGGCGACGAUGGAUAGCCGGCCUGAGAGGGUGAACGGCCACAAGGGGACUGAGACACGGCCCUUACUCCUACGGGAGGCAGCAGUGGGGAAUAUUGGACAAUGGGCCACAAGCCUGAUCCAGCAAUUCUGUGUGCACGAUGAAGGUCUUCGGAUUGUAAAGUGCUUUCAGUUGGGAAGAGGAAAGUGACGGUACCAACAGAAGAAGCGACGGCUAAAUACGUGCCAGCAGCCGCGGUAAUACGUAUGUCGCAAGCGUUAUCCGGAUUUAUUGGGCGUAAAGCGCGUCUAGGCGGAAAAAUAAGUCUGAUGUUAAAAUGCGGGGCUCAACUCCGUAUUGCGUUGGAAACUGUUUUUCUAGAGUACUGGAGAGGUGGGGCGAACUACAAGUGUAGAGGUGAAAUUCGUA